UACCAACCACAGACUGGGGUUGCUGCUC
Molecule: non-coding RNA, 28 nt
Filed under: Mus musculus (house mouse)
Lineage: Eukaryota; Metazoa; Chordata; Mammalia; Rodentia; Muridae
Source: RNAcentral